RNAcentral lists this ribosomal RNA (2906 nucleotides) under Enterobacter hormaechei. RNAcentral's name for it is "23S ribosomal RNA". It matches the Rfam family "Bacterial large subunit ribosomal RNA". Lineage: Bacteria; Pseudomonadati; Pseudomonadota; Gammaproteobacteria; Enterobacterales; Enterobacteriaceae. The record is from RNAcentral.
GGUUAAGCGACUAAGCGUACACGGUGGAUGCCCUGGCAGUCAGAGGCGAUGAAGGACGUGCUAAUCUGCGAAAAGCGCCGGCGAGGUGAUAUGAACCCUUGACCCGGCGAUGUCCGAAUGGGGAAACCCAGUGCAAUCCGUUGCACUAUCGUUAACUGAAUACAUAGGUUAACGAGGCGAACCGGGGGAACUGAAACAUCUAAGUACCCCGAGGAAAAGAAAUCAACCGAGAUUCCCCCAGUAGCGGCGAGCGAACGGGGAGCAGCCCGGAGUCUGAAUCAGCUUGUGUGUUAGUGGAACGGUCUGGAAAGUCCGACGGUACAGGGUGAUAGUCCCGUACACGAAAGCACACUUGCUGUGAACUCGAAGAGUAGGGCGGGACACGUGGUAUCCUGUCUGAAUAUGGGGGGACCAUCCUCCAAGGCUAAAUACUCCUGACUGACCGAUAGUGAACCAGUACCGUGAGGGAAAGGCGAAAAGAACCCCGGCGAGGGGAGUGAAAAAGAACCUGAAACCGUGUACGUACAAGCAGUGGGAGCCUCUUUAUGGGGUGACUGCGUACCUUUUGUAUAAUGGGUCAGCGACUUAUAUUCUGUAGCAAGGUUAACCGUAUAGGGGAGCCGAAGGGAAACCGAGUCUUAACUGGGCGUUAAGUUGCAGGGUAUAGACCCGAAACCCGGUGAUCUAGCCAUGGGCAGGUUGAAGGUUGGGUAACACUAACUGGAGGACCGAACCGACUAAUGUUGAAAAAUUAGCGGAUGACCUGUGGCUGGGGGUGAAAGGCCAAUCAAACCGGGAGAUAGCUGGUUCUCCCCGAAAGCUAUUUAGGUAGCGCCUCGUGAACUCAUCUUCGGGGGUAGAGCACUGUUUCGGCUAGGGGGCCAUCCCGGCUUACCAACCCGAUGCAAACUACGAAUACCGAAGAAUGUUAUCACGGGAGACACACGGCGGGUGCUAACGUCCGUCGUGAAGAGGGAAACAACCCAGACCGCCAGCUAAGGUCCCAAAGUCAUGGUUAAGUGGGAAACGAUGUGGGAAGGCACAGACAGCCAGGAUGUUGGCUUAGAAGCAGCCAUCAUUUAAAGAAAGCGUAAUAGCUCACUGGUCGAGUCGGCCUGCGCGGAAGAUGUAACGGGGCUAAACCAUGCACCGAAGCUGCGGCAGCGACGCUUAUGCGUUGUUGGGUAGGGGAGCGUUCUGUAAGCCGUUGAAGGUGUGCUGUGAGGCAUGCUGGAGGUAUCAGAAGUGCGAAUGCUGACAUAAGUAACGAUAAAGCGGGUGAAAAGCCCGCUCGCCGGAAGACCAAGGGUUCCUGUCCAACGUUAAUCGGGGCAGGGUGAGUCGACCCCUAAGGCGAGGCCGAAAGGCGUAGUCGAUGGGAAACAGGUUAAUAUUCCUGUACUUGGUGUUACUGCGAAGGGGGGACGGAGAAGGCUAUGUCAGCCGGGCGACGGUUGUCCCGGUUUAAGCAUGUAGGCGGAGGUUCCAGGUAAAUCCGGUACCUUGUUAACGCUGAGGUGUGAUGACGAGGCACUACGGUGCUGAAGUGAUAAAUGCCCUGCUUCCAGGAAAAGCCUCUAAGCAUCAGGUAACACGAAAUCGUACCCCAAACCGACACAGGUGGUCAGGUAGAGAAUACCAAGGCGCUUGAGAGAACUCGGGUGAAGGAACUAGGCAAAAUGGUGCCGUAACUUCGGGAGAAGGCACGCUGAUAUGUAGGUGAAGCCCCUGCGGGCGGAGCUGAAAUCAGUCGAAGAUACCAGCUGGCUGCAACUGUUUAUUAAAAACACAGCACUGUGCAAACACGAAAGUGGACGUAUACGGUGUGACGCCUGCCCGGUGCCGGAAGGUUAAUUGAUGGGGUUAGCGGCAACGCGAAGCUCUUGAUCGAAGCCCCGGUAAACGGCGGCCGUAACUAUAACGGUCCUAAGGUAGCGAAAUUCCUUGUCGGGUAAGUUCCGACCUGCACGAAUGGCGUAAUGAUGGCCAGGCUGUCUCCACCCGAGACUCAGUGAAAUUGAACUCGCUGUGAAGAUGCAGUGUACCCGCGGCAAGACGGAAAGACCCCGUGAACCUUUACUAUAGCUUGACACUGAACACUGGUCCUUGAUGUGUAGGAUAGGUGGGAGGCUUUGAAGCGUGGACGCCAGUCUGCGUGGAGCCAACCUUGAAAUACCACCCUUUAAUGGCUGGUGUUCUAACGUAGACCCGUAAUCCGGGUUGCGGACAGUGUCUGGUGGGUAGUUUGACUGGGGCGGUCUCCUCCCAAAGAGUAACGGAGGAGCACGAAGGUUGGCUAAUCCUGGUCGGACAUCAGGAGGUUAGUGCAAUGGCAUAAGCCAGCUUGACUGCGAGCGUGACGGCGCGAGCAGGUGCGAAAGCAGGUCAUAGUGAUCCGGUGGUUCUGAAUGGAAGGGCCAUCGCUCAACGGAUAAAAGGUACUCCGGGGAUAACAGGCUGAUACCGCCCAAGAGUUCAUAUCGACGGCGGUGUUUGGCACCUCGAUGUCGGCUCAUCACAUCCUGGGGCUGAAGUAGGUCCCAAGGGUAUGGCUGUUCGCCAUUUAAAGUGGUACGCGAGCUGGGUUUAGAACGUCGUGAGACAGUUCGGUCCCUAUCUGCCGUGGGCGCUGGAGAAUUGAGGGGGGCUGCUCCUAGUACGAGAGGACCGGAGUGGACGCAUCACUGGUGUUCGGGUUGUCAUGCCAAUGGCACUGCCCGGUAGCUAAAUGCGGAAGAGAUAAGUGCUGAAAGCAUCUAAGCACGAAACUUGCCCCGAGAUGAGUUCUCCCUGAGACCUUGAGUCUCCUGAAGGAACGUUGAAGACGACGACGUUGAUAGGUCGGGUGUGUAAGCGCAGCGAUGCGUUGAGCUAACCGAUACUAAUGAACCGUGAGGCUUAACCUU